CCUGUCUCUGGUAGUUCAGUGGUAGAAUACCGGCUUGUCACGCCGGUGGCCGAGGUUGUAAGUUGUUGAAUAUCAAACUCACAGGA
Molecule: transfer RNA, 86 nt
Filed under: Cladophialophora bantiana CBS 173.52
Lineage: Eukaryota; Fungi; Ascomycota; Eurotiomycetes; Chaetothyriales; Herpotrichiellaceae
Description: tRNA-Asp (GTC) (tRNA-Asp-GTC-2-1)
Source: RNAcentral